This 1270-nucleotide ribosomal RNA is filed under the name Bacillus sp. (in: firmicutes). RNAcentral describes it as "bacterial SSU rRNA". It matches the Rfam family "Bacterial small subunit ribosomal RNA", at positions 137 to 1507 of the family's 1533-position model. Lineage: Bacteria; Bacillati; Bacillota; Bacilli; Caryophanales; Bacillaceae. The record is from RNAcentral.
ACUGGGAUAACUCCGGGAAACCGGAGCUAAUACCGGAUAGUUCCUUGAACCGCAUGGUUCAAGGAUGAAAGACGGUUUCGGCUGUCACUUACAGAUGGACCCGCGGCGCAUUAGCUAGUUGGUGAGGUAACGGCUCACCAAGGCGACGAUGCGUAGCCGACCUGAGAGGGUGAUCGGCCACACUGGGACUGAGACACGGCCCAGACUCCUACGGGAGGCAGCAGUAGGGAAUCUUCCGCAAUGGACGAAAGUCUGACGGAGCAACGCCGCGUGAGUGAUGAAGGUUUUCGGAUCGUAAAGCUCUGUUGUUAGGGAAGAACAAGUGCAAGAGUAACUGCUUGCACCUUGACGGUACCUAACCAGAAAGCCACGGCUAACUACGUGCCAGCAGCCGCGGUAAUACGUAGGUGGCAAGCGUUGUCCGGAAUUAUUGGGCGUAAAGGGCUCGCAGGCGGUUUCUUAAGUCUGAUGUGAAAGCCCCCGGCUCAACCGGGGAGGGUCAUUGGAAACUGGGAAACUUGAGUGCAGAAGAGGAGAGUGGAAUUCCACGUGUAGCGGUGAAAUGCGUAGAGAUGUGGAGGAACACCAGUGGCGAAGGCGACUCUCUGGUCUGUAACUGACGCUGAGGAGCGAAAGCGUGGGGAGCGAACAGGAUUAGAUACCCUGGUAGUCCACGCCGUAAACGAUGAGUGCUAAGUGUUAGGGGGUUUCCGCCCCUUAGUGCUGCAGCUAACGCAUUAAGCACUCCGCCUGGGGAGUACGGUCGCAAGACUGAAACUCAAAGGAAUUGACGGGGGCCCGCACAAGCGGUGGAGCAUGUGGUUUAAUUCGAAGCAACGCGAAGAACCUUACCAGGUCUUGACAUCCUCUGACAACCCUAGAGAUAGGGCUUUCCCUUCGGGGACAGAGUGACAGGUGGUGCAUGGUUGUCGUCAGCUCGUGUCGUGAGAUGUUGGGUUAAGUCCCGCAACGAGCGCAACCCUUGAUCUUAGUUGCCAGCAUUCAGUUGGGCACUCUAAGGUGACUGCCGGUGACAAACCGGAGGAAGGUGGGGAUGACGUCAAAUCAUCAUGCCCCUUAUGACCUGGGCUACACACGUGCUACAAUGGACAGAACAAAGGGCUGCGAGACCGCAAGGUUUAGCCAAUCCCACAAAUCUGUUCUCAGUUCGGAUCGCAGUCUGCAACUCGACUGCGUGAAGGUNGAAUUAANNNUUAUCACGGUACAGCAUGACCCGGUCACNGUAAGUCGUAACAAGGUAGCCGUAAGU